Molecule: ribosomal RNA, 273 nt
Filed under: uncultured bacterium
Lineage: Bacteria
Description: partial 16S ribosomal RNA
Rfam family: Bacterial small subunit ribosomal RNA
Source: RNAcentral
UACAGAGGGUGCGAGCGUUAAUCGGAAUUACUGGGCGUAAAGCGCACGUAGGCGGCUUGGUAUGUCGGGUGUGAAAUCCCCGGGCUCAACCUGGGAACUGCAUCCGAAACUGCCUUGCUCGAGUAUGGGAGAGGGAAGUGGAAUUUCCGGUGUAGCGGUGAAAUGCGUAGAUAUCGGAAGGAACAUCAGUGGCGAAGGCGACUUCCUGGACCAAUACUGACGCUCAGGUGCGAAAGCGUGGGGAGCAAACAGGAUUAGAAACCCCCGUAGUCC